GAUGAACGCUGGCGGCGUGCUUAACACAUGCAAGUCGAACGGUGAAGCCAAGCUUGCUUGGUGGAUCAGUGGCGAACGGGUGAGUAACACGUGAGCAACCUGCCCUGGACUCUGGGAUAAGCGCUGGAAACGGCGUCUAAUACUGGAUAUGAGCUCUCAUCGCAUGGUGGGGGUUGGAAAGAUUUUUCGGUCUGGGAUGGGCUCGCGGCCUAUCAGCUUGUUGGUGAGGUAAUGGCUCACCAAGGCGUCGACGGGUAGCCGGCCUGAGAGGGUGACCGGCCACACUGGGACUGAGACACGGCCCAGACUCCUACGGGAGGCAGCAGUGGGGAAUAUUGCACAAUGGGCGGAAGCCUGAUGCAGCAACGCCGCGUGAGGGAUGACGGCCUUCGGGUUGUAAACCUCUUUUAGCAGGGAAGAAGCGAGAGUGACGGUACCUGCAGAAAAAGCGCCGGCUAACUACGUGCCAGCAGCCGCGGUAAUACGUAGGGCGCAAGCGUUAUCCGGAAUUAUUGGGCGUAAAGAGCUCGUAGGCGGUUUGUCGCGCCUGCUGUGAAAUCCCGAGGCUCAACCUCGGGCCUGCAGUGGGUACGGGCAGACUAGAGUGCGGUAGGGGAGAUUGGAAUUCCUGGUGUAGCGGUGGAAUGCGCAGAUACCAGGAGGAACACCGAUGGCGAAGGCAGAUCUCUGGGCCGUAACUGACGCUGAGGAGCGAAAGGGUGGGGAGCAAACAGGCUUAGAUACCCUGGUAGUCCACCCCGUAAACGUUGGGAACUAGUUGUGGGGACCAUUCCACGGUUUCCGUGACGCAGCUAACGCAUUAAGUUCCCCGCCUGGGGAGUACGGCCGCAAGGCUAAAACUCAAAGGAAUUGACGGGGACCCGCACAAGCGGCGGAGCAUGCGGAUUAAUUCGAUGCAACGCGAAGAACCUUACCAAGGCUUGACAUACACCAGAACACCGUAGAAAUACGGGACUCUUUGGACACUGGUGAACAGGUGGUGCAUGGUUGUCGUCAGCUCGUGUCGUGAGAUGUUGGGUUAAGUCCCGCAACGAGCGCAACCCUCGUUCUAUGUUGCCAGCACGUAAUGGUGGGAACUCAUGGGAUACUGCCGGGGUCAACUCGGAGGAAGGUGGGGAUGACGUCAAAUCAUCAUGCCCCUUAUGUCUUGGGCUUCACGCAUGCUACAAUGGCCGGUACAAAGGGCUGCAAUACCGUGAGGUGGAGCGAAUCCCAAAAAGCCGGUCCCAGUUCGGAUUGAGGUCUGCAACUCGACCUCAUGAAGUCGGAGUCGCUAGUAAUCGCAGAUCAGCAACGCUGCGGUGAAUACGUUCCCGGGUC
Molecule: ribosomal RNA, 1341 nt
Filed under: uncultured Microbacteriaceae bacterium
Lineage: Bacteria; Bacillati; Actinomycetota; Actinomycetes; Micrococcales; Microbacteriaceae
Description: bacterial SSU rRNA
Rfam family: Bacterial small subunit ribosomal RNA
Source: RNAcentral